RNAcentral lists this ribosomal RNA (255 nucleotides) under uncultured bacterium. RNAcentral's name for it is "partial 16S ribosomal RNA". It matches the Rfam family "Bacterial small subunit ribosomal RNA", at positions 524 to 776 of the family's 1533-position model. The record is from RNAcentral.
UACGUAGGGCCCAAGCGUUAUCCGGAUUGACUGGGCGUAAAGAGUUGCGUAGGCGGUCGGUAAAGCGAAUAGUGAAAUCUGGUGGCUCAACCACACAGGCUAUUAUUCGAACUCACCGACUCGAGAGUAGCAGAGGUAACUGGAAUUUCUAGUGUAGGAGUGAAAUCCGUAGAUAUUAGAAGGAACACCAAUGGCGUAGGCAGGUUACUGGGCUAUUUCUGACGCUAAGGCACGAAAGCGUGGGGAGCGAACCGG